RNAcentral lists this non-coding RNA (30 nucleotides) under Rattus norvegicus (Norway rat). Lineage: Eukaryota; Metazoa; Chordata; Mammalia; Rodentia; Muridae. The record is from RNAcentral.
UAGACUCUCUUGGAGAUUAGAAACAGUAGC